Molecule: ribosomal RNA, 498 nt
Filed under: uncultured bacterium
Lineage: Bacteria
Description: partial 16S ribosomal RNA
Rfam family: Bacterial small subunit ribosomal RNA
Source: RNAcentral
AUUGAACGCUGGCGGCAGGCCUAACACAUGCAAGUCGAGCGGUUGAGGUAGCUUGCUACCGAUGCAGCGGCGAACGGGAGAGUAAUACAUGGGAAUCUGCCUGGUAGUGGGGGACACCGUCUCGAAAGGGACGCUAAUACCGCAUAUGCCCUACGGGGGAAAGGGGGGGCACUUCGGACCUCUCCCUAUCAGAUGAGCCCAUGGCAGUUUAGCUAGUUGGUAGGGUAAAGGCCUGCCAAGGGGACGAUCUGUAACGGGUCUGAGAGGAUGAUCACGCAUACUGGGACUGAGACACGGUCCAGACUCCUACGGGAGGCAGCAGUGGGGAAUAUUGGACAAUGGGCGCAAGCCUGAUCCAGCCAUGCCGCGUGUGUGAAGAAGGCCUUAGGGUUGUAAAGCACUUUCAGUGGGGAGAAAGGUAAUUCACUUAAUACGUGAGUUAAUUGAUGUUACCCACAGAAGAAGCACCGGCUAACUCCGUGCCAGCAGCCGCCGUAA